RNAcentral lists this microRNA (22 nucleotides) under Echinops telfairi (small Madagascar hedgehog). RNAcentral describes it as "Ete-Mir-15-P1c_3p* (star (passenger))". The record is from RNAcentral. Lineage: Eukaryota; Metazoa; Chordata; Mammalia; Afrosoricida; Tenrecidae.
CAAAACGUGAAGCGCUGCUACA